AAAAACCUCAUGAAACCCAAACAAGCAUCGAGUCCAAAGUCCGUGUAAACAACUCGUCCUCCCCCGGCUCCCCCCUUCAUUCACCUGCAGAGUGAUGAAAGGGAGUCUGAUGUGCUCGUCAGUUUGCUGGAGGUUGUGCUCCUGGGGGGGUUUGACCCUAACGGGCAUCUGUUGGUCUCUGACGUGGGUGCAUGUUCUGUCCUGCAGAGGGCGCUCUACAGCUCCUGAUGCUAGAACAGAAACCAGCUGAAGAGAACUCACUCACCACUGUUGACUUAGGAGCCUCACUGCAAAUUUCUUUCCAGG
Long non-coding RNA from Nothobranchius furzeri (turquoise killifish), 306 nucleotides. RefSeq lists it as uncharacterized. The record is from RefSeq and is a predicted model, not a curated record. NCBI's taxonomy places the organism in Eukaryota, Metazoa, Chordata, Actinopteri, Cyprinodontiformes, Nothobranchiidae.